ACUUGGAGAGGAUCUUCCUCAGGUUGCUCGCAGCCACACGAAGUCAUCUGGCAUCUACAGAAAAUCCACGUGAAGAUCGAUGCAGAUUAGGGUCCUUGGAAGUGCUAGCUUGUAAGAAACUCGUAGGCUGAUUUCUUUCUUCUUCUUUAAAGACUUUGGAUGCUCCAAAAGAUGAAGAGAUCUGGAGGAGGAAGAGAGGAAGAAGAGGAGAAGCUCUAGAAAAACAAAAACUAGCAAGGGAACCA
Molecule: long non-coding RNA, 245 nt
Filed under: Elaeis guineensis (African oil palm)
Lineage: Eukaryota; Viridiplantae; Streptophyta; Magnoliopsida; Arecales; Arecaceae
Description: long non-coding RNA (EGUI_LNC027027)
Source: RNAcentral